This 260-nucleotide ribosomal RNA is filed under the name uncultured Acaulospora. Its description in RNAcentral is "partial 18S ribosomal RNA". It matches the Rfam family "Eukaryotic small subunit ribosomal RNA", at positions 624 to 886 of the family's 1831-position model. The record is from RNAcentral. Lineage: Eukaryota; Fungi; Glomeromycota; Glomeromycetes; Diversisporales; Acaulosporaceae.
AAGCUCGUAGUUGAAUUUCGGAAUUUGUCGGUUGGUCGGGCUUCACUGUCCGCUCUGGCCUGAUGAAUUCCUACCUUCUGAAUAACCAGCAUGCUAUUAAUUUAGUGCGUUGGGGAAGCAGAGCUAUUACCUUGAAAAAAAUUAGAGUGCUUAAAGCAGGCUCACGCUUGAAUAGAUUAGCAUGGAAUAAUAAAAUAGGACGGCUUGGUUCUAUUUUGUUGGUUUCUAGGAUCACCGUAUGAUUAAUAGGGAUAGUUGGG